UGGGGAAUAUUGCACAAUGGGCGCAAGCCUGAUGCAGCCAUGCCGCGUGUAUGAAGAAGGCCUUCGGGUUGUAAAGUACUUUCAGCGGGGAGGAAGGUGUUGAGGUUAAUAACCUCAGCAAUUGACGUUACCCGCAGAAGAAGCACCGGCUAACUCCGUGCCAGCAGCCGCGGUAACACGGAGGGUGCAAGCGUUAAUCGGAAUUACUGGGCGUAAAGCGCACGCAGGCGGUCUGUCAAGUCGGAUGUGAAAUCCCCGGGCUCAACCUGGGAACUGCAUUCGAAACUGGCAGGCUAGAGUCUUGUAGAGGGGGGUAGAAUUCCAGGUGUAGCGGUGAAAUGCGUAGAGAUCUGGAGGAAUACCGGUGGCGAAGGCGGCCCCCUGGACAAAGACUGACGCUCAGGUGCGAAAGCGUGGGGAGCAAACA
This 427-nucleotide ribosomal RNA is filed under the name uncultured bacterium. Its description in RNAcentral is "partial 16S ribosomal RNA". It matches the Rfam family "Bacterial small subunit ribosomal RNA", at positions 355 to 774 of the family's 1533-position model. The record is from RNAcentral.